UACGUAGGGUCCGAGCGUUGUCCGGAAUUAUUGGGCGUAAAGGGCUCGUAGGCGGUUCGUCACGUCGGGAGUGAAAACUCGGGGCUUAACCCCGAGCCUGCUUCCGAUACGGGCAGACUAGAGGUAGGCAGGGGAGAGCGGAACUCCUGGUGUAGCGGUGGAAUGCGCAGAUAUCAGGAAGAACACCGGUGGCGAAGGCGGCAUUCUGGACCAUAACUGACACUGAGAGACGAAAGCCAGGGGAGCAAACGGG
Molecule: ribosomal RNA, 253 nt
Filed under: uncultured bacterium
Lineage: Bacteria
Description: partial 16S ribosomal RNA
Rfam family: Bacterial small subunit ribosomal RNA
Source: RNAcentral